Molecule: ribosomal RNA, 793 nt
Filed under: uncultured Fusobacterium sp.
Lineage: Bacteria; Fusobacteriati; Fusobacteriota; Fusobacteriia; Fusobacteriales; Fusobacteriaceae
Description: bacterial SSU rRNA
Rfam family: Bacterial small subunit ribosomal RNA
Source: RNAcentral
ACACAUGCAAGUCAACUUGAAUUUGGGUUUUAACUUAGGUUUGGGUGGCGGACGGGUGAGUAACGCGUAAAGAACUUGCCUCACAGCUAGGGACAACAUUUGGAAACGAAUGCUAAUACCUAAUAUUAUGAUAAUAGGGCAUCCUAUAAUUAUGAAAGCUAUAAGCGUUGUGAGAGAGCUUUGCGUCCCAUUAGCUAGUUGGAGAGGUAACGGCUCACCAAGGCGAUGAUGGGUAGCCGGCCUGAGAGGGUGAUCGGCCACAAGGGGACUGAGACACGGCCCUUACUCCUACGGGAGGCAGCAGUGGGGAAUAUUGGACAAUGGACCAAGAGUCUGAUCCAGCAAUUCUGUGUGCACGAUGAAGUUUUUCGGAAUGUAAAGUGCUUUCAGUUGGGAAGAAAGAAAUGACGGUACCAACAGAAGAAGUGACGGCUAAAUACGUGCCAGCAGCCGCGGUAAUACGUAUGUCACGAGCGUUAUCCGGAUUUAUUGGGCGUAAAGCGCGUCUAGGUGGUUAUGUAAGUCUGAUGUGAAAAUGCAGGGCUCAACUCUGUAUUGCGUUGGAAACUGUAUAACUAGAGUACUGGAGAGGUAAGCGGAACUACAAGUGUAGAGGUGAAAUUCGUAGAUAUUUGUAGGAAUGCCGAUGGGGAAGCCAGCUUACUGGACAGAUACUGACGCUGAAGCGCGAAAGCGUGGGUAGCAAACAGGAUUAGAUACCCUGGUAGUCCACGCCGUAAACGAUGAUUACUAGGUGUUGGGGGUCGAACCUCAGCGCCCAAGCAAACGCGAU